This 456-nucleotide ribosomal RNA is filed under the name uncultured bacterium. Its description in RNAcentral is "bacterial SSU rRNA". It matches the Rfam family "Bacterial small subunit ribosomal RNA", at positions 29 to 506 of the family's 1533-position model. The record is from RNAcentral.
GCGAACGCUGGCGGCAGGCCUAACACAUGCAAGUCGAACGGAUCCUUCGGGAUUAGUGGCGGACGGGUGAGUAACACGUGGGAACGUGCCUUUUGGUUCGGAAUAGCUCCUGGAAACGGGUGGUAAUGCCGAAUGUGCCCUUCGGGGGAAAGAUUUAUCGCCAUUAGAGCGGCCCGCGUCUGAUUAGCUAGUUGGUGAGGUAAAGGCUCACCAAGGCUACGAUCAGUAGCUGGUCUGAGAGGAUGACCAGCCACAUUGGGACUGAGACACGGCCCAAACUCCUACGGGAGGCAGCAGUGGGGAAUCUUGCGCAAUGGGCGAAAGCCUGACGCAGCCAUGCCGCGUGAAUGAUGAAGGUCUUAGGAUUGUAAAAUUCUGUUAUCGGGAAAGAACACUUUGACCAGGAAAUGGGUUAGAGCUGACGGUACCCGAUGAGAAAGCCCCGGCCAACUACGU